GCCUGGGUGGCUCAGUUGGUUAAGCAUCUGACUUUGGUUCAGGUCAUGAUCUUGUGGUUUGUGAGUUCGAGCCCCACGUCAGGCU
RNAcentral lists this transfer RNA (85 nucleotides) under Felis catus (domestic cat). It matches the Rfam family "tRNA". From Rfam's summary of the family: Transfer RNA (tRNA) molecules are approximately 80 nucleotides in length. The record is from Rfam by way of RNAcentral. Lineage: Eukaryota; Metazoa; Chordata; Mammalia; Carnivora; Felidae.